This is a long non-coding RNA of Mugil cephalus (flathead mullet), 799 nucleotides long. RefSeq lists it as uncharacterized. Lineage: Eukaryota; Metazoa; Chordata; Actinopteri; Mugiliformes; Mugilidae. The transcript has 3 exons. The record is from RefSeq and is a predicted model, not a curated record.
AUGAGCAAAAAAAACAAAAAAAAAACAGUAAAAAGCAAAAAGGAGAAAUGAUAUAGGCUGAGUAUUUACAAGGACAGCAGGUACGUUAGGUAGUUUUACAGUGUAUUGCAACCAUGGACCUAAACAGCGAGGACAGGACGGGGUUAAGGCCUCGAUUGUCCAUGAAACGACUACAUCAGGGAUGUUUUAAAGUGAAGGAGAAAAGACAUUUGAUCCAACUGCACCUGAAUCGUUCUGCAAAAACUUUAACAAAAAAAAAACAAAAACGCAGGAUUUAAAAAAAAAAAAAAAAAGGUCACUACCAUCGACACCGACGCACCAACUCAAAACUGGAGCACAGACCAUGAAGGAACACACCAUAUUUGUUAAAAAUGUUUAAAACACUUAUGGCUUUCCUUAUUUAUUCAUAUACAUAUAUAUAUAUAUAUAUGUAUAUAUAUAUAUAUUCUAUAGAGGAGAGGAGAAACUGUUUCUAGUAAAAUACGUUCUGUAAAGACGACCAUAGGGUUAAGGCACCUGUAAAGCGCUCUCUGUGCCUUUGGUUAAUACUGUGGUGUGCGUCCUCUGGGUUUAGUGCACACACAUAGUGCACACACAGAGCUACACAUCCUCCUUUUCAGACUUUCAGACUUUCGGAUUCUCGUGAGAUUCGCGUCUCGCUUCGGGCUCCACGCUACGUCCCUGCAGCUAAACCGCGGAGGCCAGGACCAAUCAGCACCUUUCUCUAGGAACUACUGGCAGCUUUGGGCAUUUUUUUUUUUUUUUUUUAAGUUUCAUUAUCGUUGUGAGAGAAAAUGUU